AAAGAAGGCCUGCGGCGUCUUACCAUGCAGUCGAGCGGUAAGGCCCUUCGGGGUACACGAGCGGCGAACGGGUGAGUAACACGUGGGUAACCUGCCCUGUACUCUGGGAUAAGCCUUGGAAACGAGGUCUAAUACCGGAUAUGACACCGGACUGCAUGGUUUGGUGUGGAAAGUUCCGGCGGUACAGGAUGGACCCGGGGCCUAUCAGCUUGUUGGUGGGGUAAUGGCCUACCAAGGCGACGACGGGUAGCCGGCCUGAGAGGGUGACCGGCCACACUGGGACUGAGACACGGCCCAGACUCCUACGGGAGGCAGCAGUGGGGAAUAUUGCACAAUGGGCGAAAGCCUGAUGCAGCGACGCCGCGUGAGGGAUGACGGCCUUCGGGUUGUAAACCUCUUUCAGCAGGGACGAAGCGCAAGUGACGGUACCUGCAGAAGAAGCACCGGCUAACUACGUGCCAGCAGCCGCGGUAAUACGUAGGGUGCGAGCGUUGUCCGGAAUUAUUGGGCGUAAAGAGCUCGUAGGCGGUUUGUCGCGUCGGCCGUGAAAACUUGGGGCUUAACUCCAAGCUUGCGGUCGAUACGGGCAGACUUGAGUUCGGCAGGGGAGACUGGAAUUCCUGGUGUAGCGGUGAAAUGCGCAGAUAUCAAGAGGAACACCGGUGGCGAAGGCGGGUCUCUGGGCCGACACUGACGCUGAGGAGCGAAAGCGUGGGGGAGCGAACAGGAUUAGAUACCCCUGGUAGUCCACGCCGUAAACGGUGGGUG
RNAcentral lists this ribosomal RNA (768 nucleotides) under Lentzea albidocapillata. RNAcentral describes it as "bacterial SSU rRNA". It matches the Rfam family "Bacterial small subunit ribosomal RNA", at positions 28 to 815 of the family's 1533-position model. Lineage: Bacteria; Bacillati; Actinomycetota; Actinomycetes; Pseudonocardiales; Pseudonocardiaceae. The record is from RNAcentral.